CGCCUCUUGAGUUCAAUAAGAGGUCCAGCCUGCCCAGUGAAAUUAUUCAACGGCCGCGGUAUCCUAACCGUGCGAAGGUAGCGUAAUCACUUGUUCUUUAAAUGAGGACUAGUAUGAAUGGCAUCACGAGGGUUUUACUGUCUCCUUUUUUAAAUCAGUGAAACUAAUCUCCCCGUGAAGAAGCGGGGAUUUUGUUAUAAGACGAGAAGACCCUAUGGAGCUUAAAACAAACAACAUUUGCUGCACAUAAUACUUUUAUCUUCAAGAAGUAUAGCAUUAUGAUAUUUAGUUUUUGAUUGGGGUGAUCACGGAGCAAAAUAAAACCUCCACGCCGAAAGGGUUUAUACCCUGAGCAAAAAGCUACAGCUUUAAGCACUAAAAAAUUAACGUAUUUGACCCAAUAUUUUGAUCAACGAACCAAGUUACCCUAGGGAUAACAGCGCAAUCCACUUCAAGAGCUCCUAUCGACAAGUGGGUUUACGACCUCGAUGUUGGAUCAGGGUGUCCUAGUGGUGCAGCCGCUACUAAUGGUUCGUUUGUUCAACGAUUAAAACCCU
This 557-nucleotide ribosomal RNA is filed under the name Boana geographica (map treefrog). Its description in RNAcentral is "LSU rRNA". It matches the Rfam family "Bacterial large subunit ribosomal RNA", at positions 1819 to 2597 of the family's 2925-position model. The record is from RNAcentral. Lineage: Eukaryota; Metazoa; Chordata; Amphibia; Anura; Hylidae.